Molecule: ribosomal RNA, 350 nt
Filed under: Oscheius sp. SeqZsl_5
Lineage: Eukaryota; Metazoa; Nematoda; Chromadorea; Rhabditida; Rhabditidae
Description: SSU rRNA
Rfam family: Eukaryotic small subunit ribosomal RNA
Source: RNAcentral
GGCCCGGACACUGUAAGGAUUGACAGAUUGAAAGCUCUUUCUCGAUUUGGUGGUUGGUUGGUGCNUGGCCGUUUCUUAGUUGGUGGAUUGAUUUGUCUGGUUUAUUCCGAUAACGAACGAGACUCUAUCCUACUAAAUAGUUUCACGAUUUUCAAGUCAUGUAGACUUCUUAGAGGGAUAAGCGGUGUUUAACCGCACGAGAUUGAGCGAUAACAGGUCUGUGAUGCCCUUAGAUGUCCGGGGCUGCACGCGCGCUACACUGGAGAAUUCAGCUGGUCUUCCAUUGCCGAAAGGUAUUGGUAAACCGUUGAAACUUCUCCGUGACCGGGACCGGGAAUUGCAAUUAUUUC